AUCGGGGUCUAUUNUGCAGUCGAGCGAAUCAAUGGGAGCUUGCUCCCUGAGGAUUAGCGGCGGACGGGUGAGUAACACGCUGGGUUAACCGUGCCUGUUAAGAUUGGGAUAACUCCGGGAAACCGGAGCUAAUACCGGAUAACAUUUUGAACCGCAUGGUUCAAAAUUAAAAGGUGGCUUUUGCUACCACUUACAGAUGGACCCGCGGCGCAUUAGCUAGUUGGUGAGGUAACGGCUCACCAAGGCAACGAUGCGUAGCCGACCUGAGAGGGCGAUCGGCCACACUGGGACUGAGACACGGCCCAGACUCCUACGGGAGGCAGCAGUAGGGAAUCUUCCGCAAUGGACGAAAGUCUGACGGAGCAACGCCGCGUGAACGAUGAAGGCCUUCGGGUCGUAAAGUUCUGUUGUUAGGGAAGAACAAGUACCAGAGUAACUGCUGGUACCUUGACGGUACCUAACCAGAAAGCCACGGCUAACUACGUGCCAGCAGCCGCGGUAAUACGUAGGUGGCAAGCGUUGUCCGGAAUUAUUGGGCGUAAAGCGCUCGCAGGCGGUUUCUUAAGUCUGAUGUGAAAGCCCACGGCUCAACCGUGGAGGGUCAUUGGAAACUGGGGAACUUGAGUGCAGAAGAGGAGAGUGGAAUUCCACGUGUAGCGGUGAAAUGCGUAGAGAUGUGGAGGAACACCAGUGGCGAAGGCGACUCUCUGGUCUGUAACUGACGCUGAGGAGCGAAAGCGUGGGGAGCGAACAGGAUUAGAUACCCUGGUAGUCCACGCCGUAAACGAUGAGUGCUAAGUGUUAGAGGGUUUCCGCCCUUUAGUGCUGCAGCAAACGCNUUAAGCACUCCGCCUGGGGAGUACGGUCGCAAGACUGAAACUCAAAGGANUUGACGGGGGCCCCNCACAAGCGGGGGANCAUGNGGUUUAAUUCGAAGCAAC
Molecule: ribosomal RNA, 941 nt
Filed under: uncultured Bacillota bacterium
Lineage: Bacteria; Bacillati; Bacillota
Description: bacterial SSU rRNA
Rfam family: Bacterial small subunit ribosomal RNA
Source: RNAcentral